AUACCCACCUAGCAGAGAUACCAUGAUGAUCCCGCAGAGGUGGUUUUCUGCAGGGGCGGGGCUUAUCCGUGCACUCCCGAGAUGUGCUGGCCCUGCGAUUUCCCCAAAUGUGGGAAGCCGACUUGCGUAAUUUCAGUGAAGUGGGGACUGCGUUCCAGCUGCUUUCCCUAG
This 171-nucleotide small nuclear RNA is filed under the name Papio anubis (olive baboon). RNAcentral's name for it is "U1 spliceosomal RNA (ENSPANG00000044112.1)". The record is from RNAcentral. Lineage: Eukaryota; Metazoa; Chordata; Mammalia; Primates; Cercopithecidae.